AAGAUGAUACUUUCAGGGAUCAUUUCUAUAGUUUGUUACCAGAGAAGUUUCUCUGAUCAUGCAUAGUACCUGAAAACAUGAGGAGGAGACACAGAAUCCUCUCCUAACUGUGAAGCUGGUUCUAGGUGUUGCUUUUGCAACUGCCUUUCCUCAUUGAUGAUUGUUCUUCUCCUUCUUUGAAAGAGAGAGCCAGAGGAUGCAGACAGAGAGAU
This is a small nucleolar RNA of Sorex fumeus (smoky shrew), 212 nucleotides long. RefSeq annotates it as small nucleolar RNA U3. Lineage: Eukaryota; Metazoa; Chordata; Mammalia; Eulipotyphla; Soricidae. The transcript has a single exon. The record is from RefSeq and is a predicted model, not a curated record.